UACGAAGGGUGCAAGCGUUACUCGGAAUUACUGGGCGUAAAGCGUGCGUAGGUGGUUCGUUAAGUCUGAUGUGAAAGCCCUGGGCUCAACCUGGGAAUGGCAUUGGAUACUGGCGACCUAGAGUGCGGUAGAGGGUGGCGGAAUUCCCGGUGUAGCAGUGAAAUGCGUAGAUAUCGGGAGGAACAUCCGUGGCGAAGGCGGCCACCUGGACCAGCACUGACACUGAGGCACGAAAGCCAGGGGAGCGAACGGG
Molecule: ribosomal RNA, 253 nt
Filed under: uncultured bacterium
Lineage: Bacteria
Description: partial 16S ribosomal RNA
Rfam family: Bacterial small subunit ribosomal RNA
Source: RNAcentral